AGAAGACAGCAAGAGGACGACAAAGGUGGCGAGAUGAUGGGAGUGGGAUUCCAGCGGUGGGACGACAAGCUGCAGAGCAGUCCUUUUUUGCUGAGAACUUCAGAGACCUGCAGAGAGGUCAGAAUGACUUUCUUGCAGAGAUGAGUCACUUUCUCCAGGGAGGUCUCUUUGCUAAGACGCUGAACACUGGACUGGAUGACCGGCCUACAGAGAGGAACUACCCAUUUCUGUUCAAGAAAGGCUUUGAUACUGAGUACCAUGAAGUGUUAGAAUACAAGAAAGUUUCACAUUGGUUAUUAAUCUCCAGUUUUGCAGAUGAGAAACUCAAGAAUCAGAAAAAUGAUGAGAUUGUCCCACACUCUUUGCUAGACACCACGACCUCAGCCUCCCUCCUGAUCUCACACCUGAGUGUCUCUGGGUCAUGGGAAUUGAUAAGGGCUGCAGAUAUCCCUGACAUCCCUUGCUAAUCAUUCCCAAUCGGAGUUAUUGGGCAAGAUCCAAACUACACUCUCUGAAGAGUCUUUCCUCAAAAGAGACUUGAAGAGUGAGGAAGACUAAGAGGCUGCUGCCAUUUGAAGAUGAAGUGUACAAUACAACAGGGAAUCAAGUGAACAGAAAGUGUUGAUGGGGAUCCCAGCAGAUAGCCAACAAAAGGGAACCUCACUUCUACAGCAGCAAGGAACUGCAUUCUGCCAAAAACCUAAUGAACUUGGAAGCAGAUUAUUUUCUGGAGUCUGUAGAGAGAUGAGCAGGAAGAGGGAUAUUAGAAGAGAGAAAGUGAAAACUGGACUGAAACAUUGCUAGCUGGGGAUCUUAGCCUCUCUUUAGGCAACUCACUCCUGGUCCUGUUCUCUGCACAUGUGGGAAUUAUAAUGAGCACCAAGCAGAAUGAAUGAAAAUAAAUCCAGACCAAGAACCACUGAAGAAACUGCAACCCACAAGAGAAAACUAGCCAGAGUAUCUGCACAGGAAGGACAAGGAGACUUCUCUUUAUAAUAACAGAACCCAGAAGACGACCUACAAGGUUCUGCCCACAGGGGAGAUUGUGACCUAUUGCUGGCCCCAACACCAAGUCGAAGUUACACAUUUGCCUUGGCCUUGCCCUGAGAAGGUGCUGUGACAUAUUGCUGGGCCCAGCACCAAGGUGAUGGGACUCUCCUCUUUCUCCUGGAACCUGUCCACAGUGGGGAUUGUGACAUAUUGCUGGGCCCAGCACCACUGUGAUGUGACUCUCCUCUCGUGCCUGGGGCCAGCCCACUGGGGUAAUUGUGACAUAUAACUGGACCUAGCCCCUAGGUUAUGUGACUUACCUCUCCUUCCUGAGCCCUGCCCACAAGGGGGCCUCAUGACAUAUCUCUGGACCCCUCACCUAGGUGAUGUGAGUCUCUUGCCUGGGCCCACCCCUCAGGGUGUAUAGUGACAUAUUGCUGGACCCAACACCUAGGUGAUGUGACUCUUUUCUACUGCUUGGCUCUGCCCAAGGAGAAAUUGUGAUGUAUCACUGGGCCGAGCACCUAGGUGAUGUGACUCUCCUCUCCUGCCUGGCUCCAGCCAAAAGGGGGGAUUGUGACAUAUCACUGGACCCAACACCUAGGUGAUGGGACUCUCCUCUUUUGCCUGGGCCCACAUAUUUUGGGUAUUGUGACCUGGGUGAUGGGAGCCUACUGCUUGAACCCUACCCAGAGGGAGCUUUGUGACAUAUCUCUGCAUCCAUCACCUAGGAGAUGUGACUCUCCUCUCGUGCCUGGCCCCAGCCAAAAGGGGGGAUCGUGACAUGUCACUGGAUUCAUCACCUAGGUGAUGGGACUCCUCUUUUGUCUUGGUCCCACAUACUGUGGGUAUUGUGACAUAAUGCUGGGCCCAACACCUGGGUGAUGGAAGGCUCCUGCCUGGGCCCUGCUCACAGAGAGCCUUGUGACAGAUCUCUGCAUCCAUCAUCACCUAGAUGAUGUGACUCUCCUGUUCUGCCUGCACCCUGCCCAUGGGGAAGAUUGUAACAUAUCCCUGGGUGCUGUUCCCAGUCUUGCCUCAUGGCCUUUGCCCCAGCUGUGUCCUCUGCCCUGCAGGAUGCACCUCUGCUCCGUGUGGCUCCCUCCCACUCUCACUCUCCAAAUGCCCCGAACCCCUGAGCCCCACUGCAGCCCCACUGUACCCUGGCUCUGCAGCGCUGCUUCUUCAUGAUGUGUGUCUUCCAACAGCAGACGGGGCCAUGAAUGUGGAUGCCUCAUUCACUGCUGUGUGCCGGCAUCCAGAGCAGGACUGGAGCCCAGAGCAGGCACCUGACUGAUAGUUGUUGAAUGAGUACAGUAAUGAAUGACAAUGAAAGCACUGUGUAGAAACACUGGCUGAAUAGUACCUAGAAAGAGAAUGUCUCAAAUACCUACAUUAGCAAUGAAAAAAACACUGCUAAUUAAUGAACUAAGCAUCUAAUUCAAGAAACAAAGCAACACAUCUAACUUAUAGAAAAAGUGAAAAAAAUAAAAAACAUAAGAUCAAAAACUGAUGGAAUGAGAGCAUCAAGAAAAACAAGUUCCUUCUUUGAAAAGCGCUGUUCAAUAAUACCUUCUGCAACGUGAGGACAUUCUGUGCUAACUCAGCAGCCACUAGUCACGUGUGUAUUCAGUACUUUAAAUGCAGCUAAUCCUCUCACUGAGGAUCUAAAUUUUUAAUUGUAUUUAAGUUUAAUUUUAAUCCAUUUAAAUAGCCAUAUAAGGCUAGUGAUACUGCAUUUGACAGCACAGUUCUAGAAUAUUUCAAUACAGUGUUCCCAAGUUGACAUGUAUAAUAAUUAUUGUGGGAACAUAAUGGGGGAUAACUAGAUACACCCUAAAUGACUACCAGCAGUAAAAGGCAUUAAUAAAUUGUGAUAGAUUCAUGUAAUAUAAAAUUAAAGUUAAAAAUGAUUUACUAGAGCUGUGCAAUUGAGUGAUGUACAAAUCCUAAUGCUCAACUGCUUCAAACCUACAAUAACAGCAGUUUCAAGGAUUUCAGCCUAAUACAUUUAUAAAUAUAUUUAAAUUCCAAAAAUAUUCAAUUCUGUGUCAAAAGCAAAUUGCACAAUCAUAUUUAGAGUAACAUGUUACUAAAUAUUAUUUAGAGUAACAUUUUAAAACUCUACAAAUUAGCACUUUAUGUUUUGAGGAUGGGAAUAGAUGCAGAACAAUUGUUUAUUGAUACUUGACACAAAUGUUCCUAUCUCUGGAUGAGGGACACGGAUGCCCUCAAGGAGGGGUAUGCGAGAUCCUCAGAUUGCUUAAAAAUCUGAAGCCAACGGACAACAUAUUCAAACUUGCUAAAGCUGGUGGUGAGGAAAUGGGUGUUCAUUAUUUUAUACAAUUUCUCAAGUAAUAAGAAGGAGACAACAGGAAAGGGAAGGAAAAUAAAUCAAGUCUCCAGUGCUCUGUUUCCACAGCCUCUGCAGUAGACUUCCUGGAGCCCUUGACUGUGGUUGCAGCACAGGAGGCCUGUGCCUUGCAGAGGCAGCAGGCACAGGCGGCCAGGAACAUGGCCUCAUCUUGCCCAUCUCCUGUAGAAUGGGGCCCUUUCGGUGUGAGGAGGGCAUGAGGAAGCAUCAAGGAGAGCGUGGACAGGCUGCGAAUCCCUUAGUGUCCCCUCUCAGUCUCCCUGGAAGACUACAGUGAGGGUCUCAGGUCACCUGGCUGAAUCUCACAUCACAGUGAGCAGCGUAGCUGGGCCUGCCACCACCAUGGAGUGAAGGACCUCUCAUAAAUGGCUUGGAAUCAUCCACCUAUCAUAUAAUGCACACACCAACCAGGAAGGUCCAACGCACAUCUUGUUACUUCCAGGAAAUCACUUUCUGCCCUGCAGACCUCUCCCUUCUCCAAAGGCCAUGUCUGCCCGAUCCCCACUUAUCAAAGGCAACUGGCCCCAUCCACCUCACUGCCUGGCACAUGCAGCCAGCACAGGGCCACCUCUCCUGCUGUGACGGGGCUUAUGUCACCACUCUGCCUGCCCCUUUGGUGUAGUUUUCCUUGCUCUUGUUUUCUCUGGGAAAGGAGGUCUCACACAGGUGGACAUUAGAUCAUGGUCCUGCAGUGGGGGAGCUUCUGGGAUGAGGCUUCCUCAGCUGAACCCCAGAUGGGACCAGCCGGCUCAGUGCCAGGCAAGGAAGAGCUUCAGCCUCCCUUUCUGGGGCAAAGCCUGUGCCUGGGAGUUCAUGGCAUGAAGGGACAGAACCAAACGAGGGUCCCCCAAUGUGGCAAAUCCCCAAGAGAAAAGAAGGAGAAGCUAACUGAACACAUGCACCCAGCUUCUACUCCCAAAUGUACCAGUUAGAUAAUUCACUCCUCCUUCCCUCACAGAGAGUGUGGGGGCAGAGAGGAGGCCCUUCUGCAUGGAAUGAACAGCUAAGACCUUCCCCUUAUUUAUGUUGUGUUGGUAUUUGUUGCUAUUUUGGCCAGCAAAUGGGCUAGGCCAUUUGUAUUCACUUCUCCUUUUGCCCUCCCCUCAGUAGCACGAGGUAUGAACUUUCCUUAGAAUAGAGAUGACAGUAACAGUGGGUAUCAGAGCUGUGCUUAAAAUCCAAGUCCAACUUGGAGCCAGAGCUUCUGCUGGAGAGCAGACUGCUCUGUGACUGCAGGUACGAGGUGCGGAAAUGAGGGCCUGUGGGCCCUGGGUGCAGACCCCAUGCGUGGGCCUGGACCCAGCUCUGUUCGUGGGAUUGUGGGUAGGCUGGAUGCUGGGGGUGGGAACCCCACUGUCAACAGUCAUGGAUUGGCCUGCCCUGAAUCCUGUGAAUGCCGCUGUAGGGGAGGGGACCGGGAAGGGAGGAAGAGGCUGCUAGCUGAUCUUGGUAUAGGACUCUCACUGUGAUUCCAACCUCUCUGGAGACAGAUCAGCACUGGGUGGGAUGUCAGGGCUGAGCUGACACAGUUCUCUCCCCACAGUCAACUCCACCAAGGGUCAGUUGUUCUGGUGGAACGACUGUGUGCCCAUAGUCUAAGAUAAAUUAUCAACAACAAGUCUGUUUAAUGAGCACAGACAUUUGGUUGAGAGCAUAAUGAAAAUAAAUCUGCAAAGCAUUUUCAGCUGAUUUCCCCAUUUAGGGUCUGUCAUAUUAGCAUGGCUUUCUGGUUUACAAAAUAAGCCUACAUGAAGGCACAAUUAGAACCUCCUGAAAAAUCUUUAUUCCCUUUCCUUGUUGAUUUAAAAUAUGGCUUUCCUUAUUCUUCCUCAGCACCCUGGCACAGAAUGCAAUGUGCUCCUAACCCCACCCUGUCUGCUCAGCCCACUGAGGACUACAGGAAUGAAAGCCUGGGCUCUGCCAGUCACUGGGCAGGUGCAGAGAAUGCUGUUGGGGCAAUCCUGGCAUGGGUUGCUGCCUUCUAGAACCUGUGUGUGGAUUCAGAUGUCACUGUCUCUCAGGAUUUUGGCAGGAGAGCUAAUUUUGAUACAAGAUACACAAAGAGAAAGCAUACCUCUCUUUUCACAGCCAAGCACAAGGCUGCAAUGUACAAGGGAUACAGAGAUCCGACCACUGAACGCCUUACAUUUUAUGCACAAAAUGCCUCCCUUCUCAGAUUUAAAAAAUAAAAAAAAGCAAGUGGGCUGGGCACAGUGGCUCAUGCCUGUAAUCCCAGCAUUUUGGGACACCAAGGCAGAUGGAUCGCCUGAGGUCAGGAGUUCGAGCCCAGCCUGGCCAACGUGGUGAAACCCCAUCUCUACUAAAAAUACAAAAAAUUAGCCAGGCGUGGUGGCAUGCGCCUGACAUCCCAGCUACUCGGGAGGCUGAGGCAGAAGAAUUGCUUGAAUCUGGGAGGUGGUGGUUGCAGUGAGCCAAGAUUGUGCCAUUGCCCUCCAGCCUGGGUGACAGAGCAAGACCCCAUCUCUAAGUAAAUAAAUAAGCAAGUUAUGAUUUAUUUCCACAAAUUAUGCCAGAGGUGGGGGAUGGGAGCAUGCCAAGGUUGUGCCCCCACUCUAUUUUCUAACUUCUUUAUAAGGACUUUCAAAUAGAAAAAAGUGGAAAGAACUUGAAAGCAAACACCCGGAUACCUGCUUUAGUUCAUUUUCUGCCACUCUAACAAUACCAGAGACUGGGUGAUUUACAAUGAACAUAAAUUUAUAUAGCUCAUGAUUCUAAAGGCUGGCAAGUCCAGGAGCAUGGUGCUGGCAUCUGGUGAGGGCCUUCCUGCCGAUUCAUGACAGAGCAGAAAGCAUCACAUGACUAGACAGCAACAGCAUGCAUGACAGCUCAGCUGUCGCUCCCUCUUCUUAUAAAGCCAUCAGUUCUGAUGACCUCUGUAAAUCCUAAUUACCUCGCAUGGCCCCACCUCCCAUCAACAUAUGAAUUUACGGAUUAAAUUUCCAGUACAUAAAAUUUGGAGGACGCAAUCAAACCAAAGCAUUAGUCCCUCACCCCUAAAAUUCAUGUCCUUCUCACAUGCAAAAUACAUUCACCCCCAUCCCAAUAGCUCCAAUGUCUUGACUCAUUCUGGCAUCAACUCAAACAUUCAAAGUUCAGAAUCUCACUUGAAUCAGAUACAUGUGAGACUCAAGGCAUGAUUCAUCCCAUGGCAAAUCCCAUCCAGCUGUGAGCCUUUGUAAUCAAAAUGAGUUGUCUACUUUCAAAAUACAAUGAUGGGACAGGCAUGGGAUAGAUAUUACCAUUCAAAAGGGAGCAACAAGAAAGAAGAACAGAUAACUGGUCCCAAGUACAAAACCCAAUUGGGAAAACAACAUUAAGUCUUAAGACUCCAGAAUAUCCUUUCACUCUAUGUGCUGCCUCCCGGACACACUAGUGGAAGGGUUGGGCCCGCAAGGCCUUAGGCAGCCCCACCCCUGUGGCUUUGGUGGGCUCAGUCCACACUUCAGUGCUUCCAGGCUGGUGUUGCAUGCUGGGAACUCUACAGUUGUGGGGUCCUGGUGGUGGUCCCAACUCUGUAGCCUCAUUAGGCAUUGUCCUAGUAGGCACUCUCUGGGGUGGCUACACCCCUGCCACAAGUCUCUGCAUGGGCCCCCAGGUUGUUGAUAUAUCCUAUGCAAUCUCAGUGGAGGCUGCUGUGCCUCCACAGCUCUUGCUUGCAUUCUGCACACCUGCAGAGUUAGCACACCAUGGUCUUCACCAAGGUUUAUGACUUGUACCUUGCAGGGUAGUGGGUCAAGCUGCACCUAGACUCACUAGAACCACAGCUGGUGCAGCCAAGCAUUACUGCACCAGAAUACAGGGAUCAGAGACUGGACCCAGGCUGUAGCUCAUCUGCUGAAAUUGUAUGUGCUGGAAGUUUAAUUGCUGAAUUCAUUUUGAUUGGAGGCAGGCCAUUGAGAGGUCAUUAGGACUUUAAAAGAUCAUUAGGAUGAAGCCCUGGUGAUGGAACUGCUGGUUUCAUAAAAAGAGGAGGAGACACCUGAGCUGUCAUGCACAGUGUUGCAAUCAAAGAUCUCUAAAAUGCCUUCGAGUUUUUCCCCCAUUGUUUUGAUGAAUAGCCUCUGGCUUUGUUCUAUCCACACUAGUUUUCUUAUCAGUCAGUCACUUGGUCACACUCUUGGUUUCCUCUGCUGAAAAUGCUCUUUCAUUCUCUACCGCAUGGAAAGGCUUUUUUUUUUUUUCAAAUCUUUAUAUACUGCUUCCCUUUUAAUUAUACAUUCCAUUUCAAGUCAUUUUUUAACUCCCACAUCCCACUGUCUACAGUUAAAAGUAGCCAUGCAGCAGUUAGAAUGCUUUGCUCCUUAGAUGGUUCUGCCAGAUAUCCUAGUUCAUCACUCUUAAGUUCUACAUUCCAUAAAGCUCUUGAGCAUGGAUACAAUUCAGCCAAGGCCUUUGCAACUGUAUAACAAGAAUGGCAAGGAUGGCCUUUACCCUAGUGUCCAAUACCUUGUUACUCAGUUCAUCUGAGACCUCAGCAGAAUGGCCUGUACUGCCCAGAUUCCUAUCAACAUUUUGGUCAUGGCCACUUAAUCUCUAAGAAGAUUCAGGCUCUCCCUAGUCAUGAAGUAUUCCUCUAAGUCCUCACCAAAAUUGCCCUUAGUGCUCCAUUCAUGUCUUUACCAAUUAGUCAUUUCCAAAACUUUCCAGGUAUUUCCACAUUUCAGGUAUUUACAGCAACCUUUUCAGGUAUUGAUAGCAACAGCUGGGUACCAAUUUUUUGUCUUAGUUGGCUUUUUGUUGCUAUAAUUGAAUAACUCACACUGGAUAUAAAGGAAAAAUUUACCUCUUACAGUUCUGGGGGCUGUGAAGUCCAAGAUCAGGUGGCUGUGUCUGGUCAGCUUCUGGGGAGGGCUUUGUGCUGCAUCAUGAUAUGGUUGAAGGCAACACAGUGAGAGAGCAAGAGCAUGUGUGUCAACUCAGGUCUCUCUCCUUCAUCUUACAACCCCACAAGCCCAUCAUGGUAACCCCAGCCUGAUGACUUUAUCUAAUUCCAAUUAGCUCCCCAAAACCCCACCUUUGAUCAGCAAGGGAAUUGGGGGAUUACAUUUUCAACACAUGAAACUUGGGAGAUAUAUUUAUACUACAGCAUUACUUAUCACCUAACCUCCACAAUCAGUAGUUUGCUUUCUUUGUUUUAAUCAGUUUCUAUCCGUCCAUCAAAUAAUCUUAUUUUCAAUCCUUUUCAAGGCAAGUUGCAGACACCCUGACAGAGCAUCCCAAAUACUUCAGCAUGUGUAAUAUUAACUAGCACUCUACAUGUGUUCAUGGUUCUUGUUUCUAUAGAUAAAUUUAUACAAAGUGGAAUACACAGAGCUUCUGUGUACCAUUGCAUGUGUACGGUACAAUGUGCACAGCUGUGUAAGACAAAACCUCUUCAAGAUGUAGAACAUGACUCCACCCCAGGAAGUACCCCCUGCCCCAUGCAUCCAUCCUCACCCUCAUCUCCACAAAGGCUGUUCUCCAUGGUUUCAUGUUUUCAGAACAAAAAAUGUUUUCCCUCAUUCAGAAUUUCACAUGAGAAUUUAUACUCUGCAUAGUCUUCUGUGUACAGCUUCAUUUAUUCUAGUAUUAUGUUUUUGAGACUCUUUUACAUUAUUGCAUGUAAACACACUUUGUUCCUUUUAAUUUCUGAGUAGUAUUUUAUUGUAUGAAUAGAUUCCAGUUUAUUUAUUCACUCUCCUGUUGAUAGAUACCUGUGAUGUCUCUAUUUUUUGCUAUUUUGAAUAAAUGUAACAUAAAAAUUCUUGUAUAU
Molecule: long non-coding RNA, 9137 nt
Filed under: Homo sapiens (human)
Lineage: Eukaryota; Metazoa; Chordata; Mammalia; Primates; Hominidae
Description: non-protein coding LINC01854:11
Source: RNAcentral